RNAcentral lists this ribosomal RNA (460 nucleotides) under uncultured bacterium. Its description in RNAcentral is "partial 16S ribosomal RNA". It matches the Rfam family "Bacterial small subunit ribosomal RNA", at positions 338 to 795 of the family's 1533-position model. The record is from RNAcentral.
CCUACGGGAGGCAGCAGUGAGGAAUAUUGGUCAAUGGACGAGAGUCUGAACCAGCCAAGUAGCGUGAAGGAUGACUGCCCUAUGGGUUGUAAACUUCUUUUAUAUGGGAAUAAAACGCUCCACGUGUGGGAUUUUGUAUGUACUAUAUGAAUAAGGAUCGGCUAACUCCGUGCCAGCAGCCGCGGUAAUACGGAGGAUCCGAGCGUUAUCCGGAUUUAUUGGGUUUAAAGGGAGCGUAGGUGGGUUGUUAAGUCAGUUGUGAAAGUUUGCGGCUCAACCGUAAAAUUGCAGUUGAAACUGGCAGUCUUGAGUACAGUAGAGGUGGGCGGAAUUCGUGGUGUAGCGGUGAAAUGCUUAGAUAUCACGAAGAACUCCGAUUGCGAAGGCAGUUCACUGGACUGCAACUGACACUGAGGCUCGAAAGUGUGGGUAUCAAACAGGAUUAGAUACCCUAGUAGUC